GCUUACGAGAGUUAACACUUAUUUACGUGAAUACCAAUGAAAUUACAGAUGAGAACAUCUACUAUCUACUUAAGUUAUGAAUCUUCCCCAAAAUUCAUAACAUUUCUCCUUAACCGAACUGUGAAAGCAGAUUCGUUGUUCUACGCAAUGAUCACCCCAAUCAUUGCGUAUUUUUUUUGUCUUUGUUUUCA
Molecule: non-coding RNA, 191 nt
Organism: Acinetobacter sp. P8-3-8
Lineage: Bacteria; Pseudomonadati; Pseudomonadota; Gammaproteobacteria; Moraxellales; Moraxellaceae
Source: Rfam